GACGAACGCUGGCGGCGUGCUUAACACAUGCAAGUCGAACGGAGUGGCGAACGGGUGAGUAACGCGUAAUAAACCUGCCCUUCAGAGGGGGAUACCAGUUGGAAACGACUGCUAAUACCGCAUACUGAAGGAGGGGCUUGCGUGUGAUUAGCUAGUUGGAGGGGUGACGGCCCACCAAGGCGAUGAUCAGUAGCCGGUCUGAGAGGAUUAACGAGCACAUUGGGACGGAGACACGGCCCAGACUCCUACGGGAGGCAGCAGGGGGGAAUCUUCCGCAAUGGACGAAAGUCUGACGGCGCAACGCCGCGUGAGUGAUGACGGCCCUCGGGUUGUAAAGCUCUGUUAAUCGGGACGCGGUACCGGAAUAGAAAGCCACGGCUAACUACGUGCCAGCAGCCGCGGUAAUAC
This 408-nucleotide ribosomal RNA is filed under the name uncultured bacterium. Its description in RNAcentral is "partial 16S ribosomal RNA". It matches the Rfam family "Bacterial small subunit ribosomal RNA", at positions 28 to 526 of the family's 1533-position model. The record is from RNAcentral.